CUGACAGAACCAGAGCUGUUAGAGCAGGGACGCGCGAAGGGCGGGAGUACGGGCAGCGCUGGAGAACCUCUGCGGCGGAGGGGCUGGGGGUGGGACCGGGCCCGCGAGCCCGCCCUGACCGGGGUGUCUGUGUGCUUGUGAAGCGCUCCGUUGUUAGUUCCUUCUGUGAGACUCGGGGGAGACUGAAGAGGGAAAUCACCUGCGGGGAAUGAACAGGAAAGCAAUAAGAAGAUUUGGAAAAGAGGCACUGGCUACUUGAGGAAGGGGGAAAUCACAGAGAGAGCGAAAGAUGUAACAG
This is a long non-coding RNA of Nomascus leucogenys (northern white-cheeked gibbon), 298 nucleotides long. RefSeq lists it as uncharacterized. NCBI's taxonomy places the organism in Eukaryota, Metazoa, Chordata, Mammalia, Primates, Hylobatidae. The transcript has 3 exons. The record is from RefSeq and is a predicted model, not a curated record.